UUUCUAGCAGGCUGUAAAACUAAUAACUUGAAGCGGUGCCGUGGCCUGGAUAAUGUCCUGGAUUCUGAAACAGUGAACUCCAACAAAGCUCUGAUCUCAAGCAACAAGAUUGGUGGAGAUAAAGAAGAGCUUCCAAGAGAGUGAAGAGCAUGAAUAAGGAUGUGUUUCAAGAACUCACUGACGUAGCCAUUCAAAGGCUGCAGCUCUUGGAGUGCCGAAGUGUUGGCACGCUGCUUGCCUUACGAGCCUGUGAAACCCGUGAACAAAAGCUAUGGUCCUACAAAGUGGCGCAAUUCCCUCAUGUUGGCUGGCAUCAAACUCCAAAUGCUGCACAGGAAGAAAUCUUCCCUCCCAAGCCUGCCAGCCCAGGAACCUAAGCUUUUAACUCUGCAGAACUGAAGGCACCAGACAGAUGGGAAACCUGAAGAGCAUAUGAGCUUCCUGCAGGUGUCUCAAAGGGAAAUAGGAAAAAGGACAAGCGGCUGUGAUCAAAAUUUGCUGUGAAAGAAGACAAAGAAGAGGAGGCAAAAUAGUUUCUGUUCUUUCUAUGGAGUUUUUAAAGGUCCUUGAUGUAAUUAGAUUUUUUAACUUAUUGUUCAGAAUACAUAGUUUGCACAUAUCUUUGAAAUCUUGGUUUAGUAUUCUGUGUGCUACUUUAUACUUAGAAAUUUGAGCCUACAUUCUCUAACUGGAAUCCUUUGCAGGCAAAACACAGACAGUGGGCUUGUGAAUGCCUUCAAAAAUCUUUUGUAAUAUGAAAAACUAUUGAAGCUCCAAAACUACCUAUACACCUCUAUAUUUUACCACUUAUGUUUGUGAUGAAUAGCACUUAGGAAACAUGGUCAAAUAGGACAAGUGAUUAGAAAGGACUUCUUGAGUCACCUAGUCCAGGUAACCUUGUCGUAUGCUCCCUUUCAUAACUCAAACUCCACAUUAAGAGUAGGUGGGUUGUUAGACUCCAUCAUCCCAAGGGAGUUUUUCCAGAUUGUGAUUACACCAGUGAUUUAGACAUUUCUUCUAACUUACAGUCUAAAUGUGU
This 1039-nucleotide long non-coding RNA is filed under the name Numida meleagris (helmeted guineafowl). Its description in RNAcentral is "lncRNA (ENSNMEG00000012891.1)". Lineage: Eukaryota; Metazoa; Chordata; Aves; Galliformes; Numididae. The record is from RNAcentral.